CCAGAAGCGGCUUUCUCCAGAGACACUGAGAGCGCGGUUUUGGAAGAAGCGUAAGUUGGGUUUGGCUGAGUUCGCGCCAGCCUGGUUUCCUGCUCUAUCUAGUUUGGAGAGGAUUCACUCCUCACGGCUUUUUUUCCCUUCUGCAACCUGAGUGGCGUGGCCGCGCAGUGAUUUCCGUGAGCGUUGCUAAAGUGGGACCUAGGUCGUGUUCAGGGCAGAUUGUAUCUGCUUUUGGUAAACAAGAAGCAGAAAGGAAGUUUGAAACUCUGUUGCAAAACUUGUCCCAUUCCUCCAUCAUUCACAACUGUCAGAGAAAAUACACAUUUAGCCUCAGUACAACAUGUGAAAAAUCUGUUAUGUGAUGAACUUCAGAAGGAGAAGCUUCUUGGAGCUGGGAUUCAAGACUCUAAAGAAGAGGCUGUUACCUAACUGCUACUUGGGAUUCGGAGCAGGCGAACCUCCAUUCUUACCUGAAUCUUUUGAUGGAAUUCUUCUUGAUGCCCCCUGCAGUGGAAUGGGACAGAGGCCAUACAUGGCUUGUACUUGGACUUGGAAGGAAGUGAUAUCAUAUCAACCAUUACAGAGAAAACUCUUUACUGUGAUUAAAAGUGAGAAUACUGCACAAUUUGGCUACCUUUUAUCACCUGAUGGAUCACAUACAGGUUAUUAAGAGAUGUGAGUGGUGAGAAAGAGAAGAAAGCAUCCUCUGAGAGCUGGGAAGUGGCUGGACACUUAGAGCUAAGCCUUGGCGUCCUACCACCGAACAGAAGCAGGUCCAGAGAACACCGACCUCAGACCAGGCACCUGUGACUGGGCCAGAUCAAGACAAAAAAGACCUCUUCACAGUUAAAAAUCUGAAAGCAUCCAAACCGCAAACGUGACCAAACACCACAUCUGUCCCUGUAGUGGCCAGUUUAAGUGGACUGCCUUUUUAAAAUUAAUUGUAACGGUAGGCUUGCUUCAUCCUACCUGCUUUUUUAGGUUUCCAUUAGGAAUUUCUCAAAUCUCUUUAUUGCAUCCAUCAGGAAUGCCAGGUCUCGUGGAUCAGUGUGACACUUGACGUAUGAAUAAGAGGAGAAUAUCCUGCACUGCAUCACUUCGCAAAGGGUGAGGAAUUAAAUUCAUCAUCAAGAGGGAUCUCCAUUUUAAGAAUGAACAAUAAAAUUUAAAAUCUGAGUCAAGAAUUGCUGAAUAUGUAGAAUGAAGAUGGGGAGAAGUUGACUCGGCUGUGCUCAGGCCUCAGGAACCUUUUACCUGCCGGAAGCUGUCAUUUUAUCAGACGUGAUGGGAAGACCACUGCAGGCCCGAAGUGACUGGCGUGGCCUCACAGGAAGAUGGGCCAUGAGUGGGAGGUGCUGGAGCAAGAACAAGGAGCCAGCAGAUGCGCGCCCCCUCUGGCUGUGAGCUUCCUCUCGUCCCUGCCCGCCCCCCGGACCCCGCAGCAUCCCGUGGCCUGUGACCUGCAGGGCAGGUGGGUGGGCGCCUGACGCCAGGCUGGUUUCUUCAUCCGUCUUCCGCAUUCAGAUCCACUCGUGCACACUCUCGCACCCAGACCCACACGCAUGCACACAUGGAACUCCGGCUCAGACGACAGUGGCCGAGAAGCACGCGGUUGUCGCAGGCAGUGCCCACCGAUGGAGUAGAACAACCUUUGGAGUUUGAUUAUAUUUACCAUCAUUUACGGUCAAAAUCGUUGACUUACAAGGGUGGGAAAACAUUCAGAAAUCAGCCUGUUCAAGUCAAGCAGUCACACGUAUUUACAGUAUGUACAGACUUUCUCCUAGAAGGGGGAUAGGUGUCUGGACGAUGGUAUUACAAAUUUCCUGAAGGUGGGCGUUUCUAGUCCCUGUAAUUCAUAAAGCAAAUCUGCUGACUUGGCAUUAAGACUCUAAAACAGUGUGGUCAAACUUAUAUAUAUGUAUAUAUAUAUAAUAUAUAUAAUUAUUAUAAGAAGGUGUUUGCAGAAAUAACAUUUACAAACUGUCUAUACAGUACACAAUACUAGUACAUAGAAAAUAGAUUGUAACUUUAUGAUCCCCUUUGUGUAAGGCAAGACUGAAUCUGUCCCCAAAUUUAGCCAGAGGUACAAGCAAGAAACAGUGGUCCAUGAUGAAUAUGCAAAUCAGGUCGGUGCCUACAUAUUAAAAGUCACGAGAAUCAAGAAAUCCCACUUUUAAUAUGGGCCAGUCCUGGCCUGCUGGAUACAUCAACUACCUUUUGCAAAAUGUCAGCUAUGCAUCUUAAAAUACUAAUGCCAUAGGGAUGGCAAAAGAUUUUGUUCAAGCCCAGACAGUUGAAAUAGUCCAGUCCACAACAAGAGGAUGGCAGCCUUCCAGGACAAUUCAGGUAGCACUUAGGAAAAAAAGAAUAUUAAUACCCUAUUUCAUGCUAUUGCUAGUUAAGCAAUAUGUACAAAAUAUACAGAUCAAAUAUGACUGCGAUGUAGAUGCCCUCCAGACUGAGUGUGAGGGUGGUGGUGUACCAGACUUUAAAAACCAAAAAAAAAAAAAAAAACCCAAAAAACCAACCAACCCCCAACGACACAAAAGGAGGAACGUCACUGGCGGAUGUAAACAUCCCUGUUGCAGUCCCCAGCCUCGUUUCACUUCCUGGCGAGCCCUUCUGCGUCCUUGAAUUUGUGGCGGCUCCACUAUAUGCUGCACUCGUUGUGGUGCAGUGCCGGGACCUCCGUGGGGCUCCUCCCUGUGGCUGUGGUCACGGUGGGCGGCGCAGUGGUCCACGGGCUCAUGGCAGGAAUCUUCCUUGGUGGAGUCUCGACUCUCCUGUGUCUCUGAGUCCAGCCUCUCCUGCCUGGAGAGGCUGUGGCCGGCACCACUGCGGUGGUUGUGGUGCUGGGUGGAGGACGAAGACCAGUGCUGGGGUUUCCGGACCGGCUCCGGGCAGGCUUCUUCUUCAACUUGGGAAGCAGACUGGCCCGGGGCUGAGCGAUCCGUCCUCUGAUCGCCUGGAGGACCCUGGAGGCAAAGGGGGCAAACACAGGCCUCAGCCAAUUCCGGAGUCGUUAGAACUGUCACAAAAGCAAGUCAUUCCCAGUGGAAUCCCUUUUUGAGGGAUUUGAAAGUGAAAUCUAACCUCGCUCUGUUGCUUCUUUUGCUAACAUCCCGUGGCAUUUGUAAGGUACUCAGUUGACACUGGAGGUACUUGAGGACUCAGCGUUUGUCACAUUCUGGAUAGAGCUGCCCAGUUGGAACACGCACGGCACCCGGGUUCGGGGCACAGAUCCUAGCCAGGCAGCCGCAGGGAAGAGCUGCUUGCUUACCUCAGGGAGAACUCGAGGAGGAAGAAGACAACAUCGGCUGGUGAUUCCUGCUUAGACGUCACCCACCACUGCUUCUCCAUCAUCAGCACAAAUGUCAGAACAGUGAAAAAGGGGGCGAAUGUCUCAGUGUUACUUACCAUGGAGAUGCUCUUCGCCUAAUGGACCCUCUGACAGCGCCUCAGAAGCUCCUCCACCAUGAAUCCAUGGGCUACUCUUUGGGAAUCACUGUUCCACACCAUGAAAUUAAUCAUCCUCCUCUGCUUAUAUGAAUCUUAACAAUUCUUGAUCACCAUCUCUCUCUCAAACCCUCUGUGGAAGGUAAAAGCCUGUUUAUAAUUGGAAAGCAGGAUAUAAACACAUUAGUAAAGUUUCAUUGCACAACAAACACUAACAACCUGGUUUACCUUAGAAGACAUCUUGUAAUAGGGGCCAGAGAGGUUUUACUGAGUUGAGCUGGAUGAUUAAUAGUAUCUGCAUCAAGGUCCACCAGUUGCAGUGUUCUUGCAAGUUCAAAAAUCCUCUUGAUUUCACUCUGAACUUCUGCUGUAAAAGAUAAAAGUAAAAUGCUGCUCCUGGAGGUGAGCCAUUAGGUUGAUGUCCACAGGUAAGAGAGCUGAGAACAGGCAUCAAGGGAAAAAGCCAUUUCUUCACAACACCUCCAGAAUUUAGAGAAUUCCUAUCAGCUAUAAGAUUUAGUUCUAAUAUAACAUACAAUCUGAGAGUCAACUUUUUUGGCUCUGUGCUGACUUGGGUGUGGUGCUAUAAACUUCACUCUAUGAAGUCAUUUCAUGAAAAUUUAUAAAAUAUAAACUUGAAGAGCUGUC
This is a long non-coding RNA of Phacochoerus africanus (Common warthog), 4104 nucleotides long. RefSeq lists it as uncharacterized. NCBI's taxonomy places the organism in Eukaryota, Metazoa, Chordata, Mammalia, Artiodactyla, Suidae. The transcript is spliced from 10 exons. The record is from RefSeq and is a predicted model, not a curated record.